CUAGCGUUGUUCGGAAUUACUGGGCGUAAAGCGCGCGUAGGCGGCUUUGUAAGUUAGAGGUGAAAGCCCAGGGCUCAACCCUGGAAUUGCCUUUAAGACUGCAUCGCUUGAACAUCGGAGAGGUAAGUGGAAUUCCGAGUGUAGAGGUGAAAUUCGUAGAUAUUCGGAAGAACACCAGUGGCGAAGGCGACUUACUGGACGAUUGUUGACGCUGAGGUGCGAAAGCGUGGGGAGCAAACAGG
This 242-nucleotide ribosomal RNA is filed under the name uncultured bacterium. Its description in RNAcentral is "partial 16S ribosomal RNA". It matches the Rfam family "Bacterial small subunit ribosomal RNA", at positions 535 to 776 of the family's 1533-position model. The record is from RNAcentral.